UACGUAGGUGGCAAGCGUUGUCCGGAUUUACUGGGCGUAAAGGCUGCGUAGGCGGACAUUUAAGUCAGAUGUGAAAUACCCGAGCUUAACUUGGGUGCUGCAUUUGAAACUGGGUGUCUAGAGUGCAGGAGAGGUAAGUGGAAUUCCUAGUGUAGCGGUGAAAUGCGUAGAGAUUAGGAAGAACACCAGUGGCGAAGGCGACUUACUGGACUGUAAUUGACGCUGAGGCAUGAAAGCGUGGGGAGCAAACAGG
RNAcentral lists this ribosomal RNA (253 nucleotides) under uncultured bacterium. RNAcentral's name for it is "partial 16S ribosomal RNA". It matches the Rfam family "Bacterial small subunit ribosomal RNA", at positions 524 to 776 of the family's 1533-position model. The record is from RNAcentral.